Molecule: long non-coding RNA, 554 nt
Organism: Protopterus annectens (West African lungfish)
Lineage: Eukaryota; Metazoa; Chordata; Ceratodontiformes; Protopteridae
Exons: 4
Source: RefSeq, a predicted model, not a curated record
GCCACUUUAAACCAGUAUUGCUAAAGGGCUGAGCAGGUGUUUUUAACUAGAGAGUUGAUGAGGGACUAGUUAGUUCAGAGUGGAGUUUGAAGAGGAUAGGGAGCUGUUGAGUUAUAUGAAAGCAAAUAUUUUGGGCAAAGAAAAAAAAAAGUUUCAUGGGUGAAGAUUUGGAAUAUUUCAUUUGCUUAAGGCUCUGUGUUUUGGAAAUCUUGAGAAGUGUGACUGAAGUCAGAAGGAGUGGUUUCUUCUGAACAGGUUUCAAGAGUAGAAACCUCCCAAGGCAAGAUGCUUGUACCAUUAGAAGAAGCGCAUGCUCCUUAAACCUGUAUAGCAUCUCCACAGCUGCACAACAGUGGUGAAAAGAGUAACUUCUACUGUUACCAAGGAUCAAUGUGUCAUUUUGAUAUCAUAUGAAAAAGCCUCUGGAAGUUCCAAAAUGUCAGGUAUCCAAGAAGAGAGGAAUUUCACCAUAUCCGUUCCUUCUAUGUUGUCAGGCACUGUAUAGUACUGUUGAAGGGGUCAUGCAAUUUGGAGAAAAGAGGAAACAAAAAGUG